Molecule: ribosomal RNA, 611 nt
Filed under: Bacillus sonorensis
Lineage: Bacteria; Bacillati; Bacillota; Bacilli; Caryophanales; Bacillaceae
Description: bacterial SSU rRNA
Rfam family: Bacterial small subunit ribosomal RNA
Source: RNAcentral
UGCAGUCGAGCGGACAGAUGGGAGCUUGCUCCCUGAUGUCAGCGGCGGACGGGUGAGUAACACGUGGGUAACCUGCCUGUAAGACUGGGAUAACUCCGGGAAACCGGGGCUAAUACCGGAUGCUUGAUUGAACCGCAUGGUUCAAUUAUAAAAGGUGGCUUUUAGCUACCACUUACAGAUGGACCCGCGGCGCAUUAGCUAGUUGGUGAGGUAACGGCUCACCAAGGCAACGAUGCGUAGCCGACCUGAGAGGGUGAUCGGCCACACUGGGACUGAGACACGGCCCAGACUCCUACGGGAGGCAGCAGUAGGGAAUCUUCCGCAAUGGACGAAAGUCUGACGGAGCAACGCCGCGUGAGUGAUGAAGGUUUUCGGAUCGUAAAACUCUGUUGUUAGGGAAGAACAAGUACCGUUCGAAUAGGGCGGUACCUUGACGGUACCUAACCAGAAAGCCACGGCUAACUACGUGCCAGCAGCCGCGGUAAUACGUAGGUGGCAAGCGUUGUCCGGAAUUAUUGGGCGUAAAGCGCGCGCAGGCGGUUUCUUAAGUCUGAUGUGAAAGCCCCCGGCUCAACCGGGGAGGGUCAUUGGAAACUGGGGAACUUGAGUGC